RNAcentral lists this ribosomal RNA (280 nucleotides) under uncultured Smithella sp. RNAcentral's name for it is "partial 16S ribosomal RNA". It matches the Rfam family "Bacterial small subunit ribosomal RNA", at positions 1100 to 1382 of the family's 1533-position model. Lineage: Bacteria; Pseudomonadati; Thermodesulfobacteriota; Syntrophia; Syntrophales; Smithellaceae. The record is from RNAcentral.
AACCCUUAUCUUUAAUUGCCAGCAUUCAGUUGGGCACUUUAAAGAGACUGCCGGUGUUAAACCGGAGGAAGGUGGGGAUGACGUCAAGUCCUCAUGGCCUUAUGCUUAGGGCUACACACGUGCUACAAUGGGUGGUACAAAGAGAAGCCAACUCGCGAGAGCGCGCCAAUCUCAAAAAGCCAUCCUCAGUUCGGAUUGGAGUCUGCAACUCGACUCCAUGAAGUUGGAAUCGCUAGUAAUCGCGGAUCAGCAUGCCGCGGUGAAUACGUUCCCGGGCCUU